Molecule: ribosomal RNA, 250 nt
Filed under: uncultured bacterium
Lineage: Bacteria
Also listed under: 1 other name
Description: partial 16S ribosomal RNA
Rfam family: Bacterial small subunit ribosomal RNA
Source: RNAcentral
CACGUAGGGGACGAGCGUUGUCCGGAUUCAUUGGGCGUAAAGCGCGCGUAGGCGGCUCGGAAAGUCGGUCGUGAAAUGCCGGGGCUCAACCCCGGGACUGCGUCCGAUACUUCCGGGCUGGAGGUAGGUAGGGGAGAUCGGAAUUCCUGGUGUAGCGGUGAAAUGCGCAGAUAUCAGGAGGAACACCGGUGGCGAAGGCGGAUCUCUGGGCCUUACCUGACGCUGAGGCGCGAAAGCUAGGGGAGCGAAC